RNAcentral lists this unclassified non-coding RNA (379 nucleotides) under uncultured Planctomycetota bacterium. Its description in RNAcentral is "uncultured planctomycete contains 16S-23S intergenic spacer region". Lineage: Bacteria; Pseudomonadati; Planctomycetota. The record is from RNAcentral.
UCCCAUUCGACACGGGCAGUCUGGCUAGAGUGCAUCCUUUCGGAUUAGCAACUAACCACAAGGGUUUCGCUCGUUACGGGACUUAACCCAACAUCUCACGACACGAGCUGACGACAGCCAUGCAACACCUGAUGAAUGCUCCCCUUGCGGGGUCGUUACCGUUUCCGGUUUCUACCACAUCCACUUCAAGCCCGGGUAAGGUUCUUCGCGUUGCAUCGAAUUGAACCACAUGCUCCACCGCUUGUGCGAGCCCCCGUCAAUUCCUUUGAGUUUUAAUCUUGCGACCGUACUCCCCAGGCGGCAGACUUAAUGCGUUAGCUGCAGCAGAGAGAGGUGAACCCCCCUCCACUUAGUCUGCAUCGUUUACGGCUAGGACUAC